This 778-nucleotide non-coding RNA is filed under the name Paralipsa gularis. The record is from RNAcentral. Lineage: Eukaryota; Metazoa; Arthropoda; Insecta; Lepidoptera; Pyralidae.
AAAUAAUUUAUUAUAGUUAAUAAAAUUUAUUAUAAAUUUAUUUUACAUAUAAAUUUUAGUAAAAAUUUUUAAUUAUUUAAAUAAUAAUUAAAUUUAUAUUAAUAGUAAUUAAUAUUAAAAAUUUAAGAAAUUAAGAUUUAGUAAUAUAAAAAUUAAAAACUAAAUUUGUGCCGGCAGUUGCGGUUAUACAAAUUUUAAAGUAAAUUUUUUUAGUUAAAAUAAGUAAUUUAAUUUAAAUUAAAUGUUAAAUUAUUAAGUGAAAUUUUAAUUUAAUUAAAAUUUAUUUUGAAAUUAUUUAUUAAUAAAUUUUAUUAUAAACUAGGAUUAGAUACCCUAUUAUUAAAAAUUUAAAUAAAAAAGACUAAAAUAGUAAAUAAUAAUUUAUUAAAACUUAAAUAAUUUGGCGGUAUUUUAGUUCAUUUAGAGGAAUCUGUUUAAUAAUUGAUAAUCCACGAAUAAAUUUACUUAAUUUUUUUUUUAUUUUGUAUAUCGUUGUUAUAAAAAUAUUUUUUAGUAAAAAUAAUAUUUAAAAAUUUUAAUUAAAAUUUAAAUCAGAUCAAGAUGCAGAUUAUAAUUAAGAAUAUAAUGGAUUACAAUAAAUUUAUUUAUAUGAAUUAUAAAUUGAAAAAUUUAUUUGAAAGUGGAUUUAAAUGUAAUUUUAAUUAAUUUGUUAAAAUGAUUAAAAAUUAAAAUAUGUACAUAUUGCCCGUCGCUUCCAUUAAUAAAUUGGAAUAAGUCGUAACAAAGUAGAGGUACUGGAAAGUGUUUCUAGAAUGAA